CGGCAACAGCUCAAAUUUGAAAUCUGGCGCAAGCCCGAGUUGUAAUUUGCAGAGGAUGCUUUUGGCGCGGUGCCUUCUGAGUUCCCUGGAACGGGACGCCGGAGAGGGUGAGAGCCCCGUACAGUUGGACACCAAGCCUUUGUAAAGCUCCUUCGAC
This 157-nucleotide ribosomal RNA is filed under the name Myrmecridium schulzeri. Its description in RNAcentral is "partial large subunit ribosomal RNA". It matches the Rfam family "Eukaryotic large subunit ribosomal RNA", at positions 99 to 261 of the family's 3401-position model. Lineage: Eukaryota; Fungi; Ascomycota; Sordariomycetes; Myrmecridiales; Myrmecridiaceae. The record is from RNAcentral.